This 253-nucleotide ribosomal RNA is filed under the name uncultured bacterium. RNAcentral describes it as "partial 16S ribosomal RNA". It matches the Rfam family "Bacterial small subunit ribosomal RNA", at positions 524 to 776 of the family's 1533-position model. The record is from RNAcentral.
UACGUAGGGGGCAAGCGUUGUCCGGAAUCAUUGGGCGUAAAGAGCGCGUAGGCGGCCCUGUAAGUCCGCUGUGAAAGUCCAGGGCUCAACCCUGGGAUGCCGGUCGAUACUGCCGGACUAGAGUUCGGAAGAGGCGAGUGGAAUUCCCGGUGUAGCGGUGAAAUGCGCAGAUAUCGGGAGGAACACCUAUGGCGAAGGCAGCUCGCUGGGACGUUACUGACACUGAGAAGCGAAAGCCAGGGGAGCAAACGGG